AACGAACGCUGGCGGCAUGCCUAACACAUGCAAGUCGAACGAGACCUUCGGGUCUAGUGGCGCACGGGUGCGUAACGCGUGGGAACCUGCCCUUAGGUUCGGAAUAACUCCCCGAAAGGGGUGCUAAUACCGGAUAAUGUCUUCGGACCAAAGAUUUAUCGCCUUUGGUUGGGCCCGCGUUGGAUUAGCUGGUUGGUAGGGUAAAAGCCUACCAAGGCGACGAUCCAUAGAUGGUCUGAGAGGAUGAUCAGCCACACUGGGACUGAGACACGGCCCAGACUCCUAGGGGAGGCAGCAGUGGGGAAUAUUGGACAAUGGGCGAAAGCCUGAUCCAGCAAUGCCGCGUGAGUGAUGAAGGCCUUAGGGUUGUAAAGCUCUUUUACCCGGGAUGAUAAUGACAGUACCGGGAGAAUAAGCUCCGGCUAACUCCGUG
Molecule: ribosomal RNA, 433 nt
Filed under: uncultured bacterium
Lineage: Bacteria
Description: partial 16S ribosomal RNA
Rfam family: Bacterial small subunit ribosomal RNA
Source: RNAcentral